Molecule: long non-coding RNA, 1084 nt
Filed under: Vitis vinifera (wine grape)
Lineage: Eukaryota; Viridiplantae; Streptophyta; Magnoliopsida; Vitales; Vitaceae
Description: long non-coding RNA (VVIN_LNC001654)
Source: RNAcentral
GAAUUGGGUUUCUGGUUGUGUUUGGAUUGAGAGAAAAUGAGAGAAAUUAUAAGCAUACACAUUGGCCAAGCAGGGAUCCAGGUGGGAAAUUCAUGCUGGGAGCUCUAUUGCCUCGAACAUGGCAUUCAACCUGAUGGCAUGAUGCCCAGGUACCCAUUUCUCAAUUUUCAGUUUUUGACGCUUUUUUCUUUUUUUUUUCUUUUAUCUUUUUGGUCUGAAUUGGGUUUGGUAGAGGGUUUUGUGUUUGUUUGGUUUCUUCUUAUUUAAUCCAUGUUUUGAUGUUCUUAAUUGUGGGUUUUUGGGAAAUGUGUUGGGUGUUUUUGAUUGAUUUGUGGGGAUUUUUUUAAGGGUUUGUUGAAUUUAAUCGAGAUUACCAUUUUCUGGGGGAGAUUUCUUUGAUUCGUGUGGUUGAAUUGUGUUUGACUCGGUUAAUUUGCUUGAUCAUCCAUUGGAAAAUGGUGUACUUCAAAGGAGAGGGGGGAGAUUAAGAGAUCUUUAAUUCACUUGCUGUUCUAUAAAUUGAUCACAGAAUGGUAAACUGUUGAACAGAUAACGCCAUGGACUCAGAAGCACACUGUUUUGUCUCUUUCUAUUUGGGUUUGUGGCUCAAACUCAUGGACUGUAUUAUGAUCGAUAUUGAUUCGGCUUUGUGUCUGUAAUGGGCAUGGUACCUUUUUUUUCUCUGUAGUAGUAAAGGGAAGAAUGGGGUAGUGUUAUUUUGUUUAUUGUGGGUCAAUUUUGGAAAUUUUGAUUUCCUUCUACUAUGUAUUUCCUUUCUUGUGUUUGUUUUGUGGGUUGUGGCCUUUUUCUGUUUUUGAAUUCUCAGGAUAUUGGAAGCAGCUUGUUGUUUUGAGGUCAGAUUUGUAGCAGAAAACUUAUGGACUUUAGUGUAUUUGCAGUGAUACUACAGUGGGCGUUGGGCACGAUGCUUUCAACACCUUCUUCAGUGAGACCGGCGCAGGCAAGCAUGUGCCUAGAGCGAUAUUUGUUGAUCUGGAGCCAACUGUCAUUGAUGAAGUCAGGACUGGAACGUACAGGCAGCUGUUCCAUCCUGAGCAACUAAUUUCUGGCAAGGAGGAUGCUG